AUGUCGGAAAUCAUCUUGGAAAACAAACCUAAGCUCAUCAAAUGGCUUAGUUUGGAUUAUAAAUUUGUUUUGCAACAUGUUCAAGCUAAAAAACUUAUAACACACUCGCACUAUGAUGACUUGAUGGCCAUGAAGGCGAGCGACAGUAUCAUCAAACUUCUGGACAUCAUCCGUAGAAGAGGAGAAAAUGUGUGUCGAGAUUUUCUGGAUUUGCUAAAAGAUGAUGAUGUGAAUGAAAUAUCGCCGGAGCUAAGAGACUGGGUCAAAACAGUUGACUCAGAAGACCAGAAAACAGAAAAAUACAAAGGAAGAGCAAGUGUUAACAGACCUAAACAAGAAACUGCCAACAUGACAGGACAAUCACGCAUCCAAGUAAACAGCCAAAUCUCUGCAUCAGAUGGCAGCAGUGUAAUUUCGCCUACCAUAAUUGGUGGAAAUCUAGGGUCCUUUAUAAUGAAUACGACGGUUGCACCCUCUGGCAGAUCAGAUGUGCAGACAAAUUACCAAGAAACCUGAUAGAGACUGUGAACACAGGCCAGUACAAGAUUAUCAGAAGUUUCUAAAAUAAAACACCAGUCUGCUGGUUCAACAAGUGAAGAACAUUGAUCCAAUUAUUGAUGAUCUCGACCUACAUGAUGAAUCCGUUGCAGUUGUGAGAGUGAAGCCAACAGAUCAAGAGAAGAUGAGGAAACUGCUUACCGAACUGCUGAACAGCUACUGAGUGUUGUAUUGUUUACCCACCAGAUUAGCAGCAUGUUAUUAAAGGAAAUGGAAUAUUGUACUGUCAAUGCCAACAAUAAAUUUUUUAAUGUUUUGAUAGUAAAAGUGAUAGUUCUUGGAGUUUUCCUUUUUUAUAUAAAUUGAGAACCAAGUAUAUUGUACAAACAGGCCUACAUGUAACCAAACAUGUCAGGGAUAUAUAUAUAUAUAUAUAUGUAUAUAUAUAUGUGUGUGUGUGUGUGUGUGUGUGUGUGCAUUUUACAUAUUAACCUUUUGUAUAGGUUGCACUGCUUUAAAGUUUUUUUUUAUUGUUUCUAAAUAUAAAUAUUUUAAUGUUGAUUUUAAAUCGUUUAAACAGUGGCAGUUGUUAAUUACAUUUUAUCAAUAUAACGGCUUGCUAUGAAGCACACUUGGAUUUUGGAUGGCAUUUUACAUCGAUCUAUCUAAAAUUCUAUUAACUUAAAAAGCACAUUUCUACUAGUCUAUUUGCAUAGUUUUACUACUGGCGAAAUUAGCUCUCAGAGUCAUGACAGACCCACCCCCCCAAACCUCCCACCGGUUUCACGUACAGCCGUUUACACCCAUGUCAAACACAAACACAACUGGAGGUGCAGUAGAAGAACUCAGUCACUAGGUGGGGAUGGUGGUUCAGUACAACGAGUGAAGAGACGGAAGAAGGGGCUUGAACCGUGUCUAAAAGCACCUGUUGGCACAGGUAAAAAUAAAUACAAAUAUAAUAUGAAUUGUAAUUCAUUGCUCAAUCUAUAGAGAUUUAUUACACUCAGGUGGGUAAGUUACAGUUAUAUUUAUGGUCACAGCACCUAGCAGAUUCUGUUUGGGGAUGCAUUCAUGCUGCUUGGUGGUUUGAGGUUUGUUUUUGUAAACCGUUUGUAAGGAUUGCUUCAUUCUCAUCUAUUAGACUGUGGGGAAUUGUGGGAAAUUGUAAGCGCUCAGAAGGGCACACAGAGAACCUUGUCAGGCAUUACUGCACUAGAGAUUACAUAAAAAGUAACAUUUUUAAUGUGGUUGCAGCAAUCAGAGCUAGAGAACCAGGCUUUAGGUCUGUGUCUUUACUGUGCUCUAACAUUACUAUUUUGUAUUUUGAUGACAUUUUAGUUUACAUUUUAUUGUAAAUAAAUUUGCUUCAUGUAUGUUGAAUAUUUAUUUAUUUAUAACAAAUCUGAUGUCAAACAUCUGUGGAAC
This is a long non-coding RNA of Cyprinus carpio carpio, 1923 nucleotides long. The record is from Ensembl. NCBI's taxonomy places the organism in Eukaryota, Metazoa, Chordata, Actinopteri, Cypriniformes, Cyprinidae.